CAUAUCCGAUGAUUACAACAGGGUUUAAAGUAGGAUUAUCGAUAAUACGUACAUCUCCACCACCUGGAGCCCACGUAUCAUAUAAACCACCUACAUAAAGAGCUUUAAUUACUAAUAAUAAAGCUCCAAAUCCUAGGAUUACUAAAUGAAUACCUAGAAUCGUAGUAAUUUUAUUCUUAUCACGCCA
This 187-nucleotide antisense RNA is filed under the name Rhodomonas abbreviata. RNAcentral's name for it is "Antisense RNA which regulates isiA expression". It matches the Rfam family "Antisense RNA which regulates isiA expression". Lineage: Eukaryota; Cryptophyceae; Pyrenomonadales; Pyrenomonadaceae. The record is from Rfam by way of RNAcentral.